GACGAACGCUGGCGGCGUGCUUAACACAUGCAAGUCGAACGGAAAGGCCCUGCUUUUGUGGGGUGCUCGAGUGGCGAACGGGUGAGUAACACGUGAGUAACCUGCCCUUGACUUUGGGAUAACUUCAGGAAACUGGGGCUAAUACCGGAUAGGAGCUCCUGCUGCAUGGUGGGGGUUGGAAAGUUUCGGCGGUUGGGGAUGGACUCGCGGCUUAUCAGCUUGUUGGUGGGGUAGUGGCUUACCAAGGCUUUGACGGGUAGCCGGCCUGAGAGGGUGACCGGCCACAUUGGGACUGAGAUACGGCACAGACUCCUACGGGAGGCAGCAGUGGGGAAUAUUGCACAAUGGGCGGAAGCCUGAUGCAGCACCGCCGCGUGCGGGAUGACGGCCUUCGGGUUGUAAACCGCUUUCGCCUGUGACGAAGCGUGAGUGACGGUAAUGGGUAAAGAAGCACCGGCUAACUACGUG
RNAcentral lists this ribosomal RNA (468 nucleotides) under uncultured bacterium. Its description in RNAcentral is "partial 16S ribosomal RNA". It matches the Rfam family "Bacterial small subunit ribosomal RNA", at positions 28 to 507 of the family's 1533-position model. The record is from RNAcentral.